Molecule: Y RNA, 102 nt
Organism: Macaca fascicularis (crab-eating macaque)
Lineage: Eukaryota; Metazoa; Chordata; Mammalia; Primates; Cercopithecidae
Rfam family: Y RNA
About the family: Y RNAs are components of the Ro ribonucleoprotein particle (Ro RNP), in association with Ro60 and La proteins. The Y RNAs and Ro60 and La proteins are well conserved, but the function of the Ro RNP is not known.
Source: Ensembl
AGCUGGUCUGAGUGCAGUGGUGUUUACAACUAAUUGAUCACAACCAGUUACAGAUUUCUUUGUUCCUUCUCCACUUCCACUGCUUCACUUGACCUUUUAAAA